Molecule: transfer RNA, 87 nt
Filed under: Gammaproteobacteria bacterium
Lineage: Bacteria; Pseudomonadati; Pseudomonadota; Gammaproteobacteria
Description: tRNA-Leu
Rfam family: tRNA
About the family: Transfer RNA (tRNA) molecules are approximately 80 nucleotides in length. Their secondary structure includes four short double-helical elements and three loops (D, anti-codon, and T loops).
Source: RNAcentral
GCCGGGAUGGCGGAACUGGUAGACGCGCCAGACUCAAAAUCUGGUGGGGGCGACCCCGUGCGAGUUCGAGUCUCGCUCCCGGCACCA